AGAGUUUGAUCAUGGCUCAGAACGAACGUUAGCGGCGCGCCUAACACAUGCAAGUCGAACGCGACAGGGGCAACUCUGUUGAGUGGCGCACGGGUGAGUAACACGUAGGUAAUCUCCCCUCGAGUGGUGGAUAACCUUCCGAAAGGAGGGCUAAUACAGCAUAAGACCACGGUCUCGAAAGAGGCUGAGGUCAAAGCGGAGGAUCGCAAGACUUCGCGCUUGAGGAUGAGCCUGCGGCCCAUCAGGUAUGGCGGGGUAAUGGCCCACCAAGCCUAAGACGGGUAGCUGGUCUGAGAGGAUGAUCAGCCACACUGGAACUGAGACACGGUCCAGACUCCUACGGGAGGCAGCAGUGGGGAAUCUUGCGCAAUGGACGAAAGUCUGACGCAGCGACGCCGCGUGGGUGAUGAAGGCCUUCGGGUUGUAAAGCCCUGUGGGGAGGGACGAAUAAGUUGCAGCUAAUACCUGCAGCGAUGACGGUACCUCCUUAGCAAGCACCGGCUAACUCUGUGCCAGCAGCCGCGGUAAGACAGAGGGUGCAAACGUUGUUCGGAAUUACUGGGCGUAAAGCGCGUGUAGGCGGCUAUGCAAGUCGGAUGUGAAAGCCCUCGGCUCAACCGGGGAAGUGCACCCGAAACUGCAAAGCUAGAGUCUCGGAGAGGAUCGUGGAAUUCUCGGUGUAGAGGUGAAAUUCGUAGAUAUCGAGAGGAACACCGGUGGCGAAGGCGGCGAUCUGGACGAUGACUGACGCUGAGACGCGAAAGCGUGGGGAGCAAACAGGAUUAGAUACCCNNGUAGUCC
RNAcentral lists this ribosomal RNA (801 nucleotides) under uncultured bacterium. RNAcentral describes it as "bacterial SSU rRNA". It matches the Rfam family "Bacterial small subunit ribosomal RNA", at positions 8 to 796 of the family's 1533-position model. The record is from RNAcentral.